AGUGAACGCUGGCGGUAGGCCUAACACAUGCAAGUCGAACGGCAGCACAGUAAGAGCUUGCUCUUACGGGUGGCGAGUGGCGGACGGGUGAGGAAUACAUCGGAAUCUACUUUUUCGUGGGGGAUAACGUAGGGAAACUUACGCUAAUACCGCAUACGACCUACGGGUGAAAGCAGUGGAUCUUCGGACCUUGCGCGAUUGAAUGAGCCGAUGUCGGAUUAGCUAGUUGGCGGGGUAAAGGCCCACCAAGGCGACGAUCCGUAGCUGGUCUGAGAGGAUGAUCAGCCACACUGGAACGUAGACACGGUCCAGACUCCUACGGGAGGCAGCAGUGGGGAAUAUUGGACAAUGGGCGCAAGCCUGAUCCAGCCAUACCGCGUGGGUGAAGAAGGCCUUCGGGUUGUAAAGCCCUUUUGUUGGGAAAGAAAAGCAGCAGGUUAAUACCCCGCUGUUCUGACGGUACCCAAAGAAUAAGCACCGGCUAACUUCGUG
This 492-nucleotide ribosomal RNA is filed under the name uncultured bacterium. RNAcentral describes it as "partial 16S ribosomal RNA". It matches the Rfam family "Bacterial small subunit ribosomal RNA", at positions 29 to 507 of the family's 1533-position model. The record is from RNAcentral.